GGGUGGAUUAGUGGCGAACGGGUGAGUAACACGUGAGUAACCUGCCCUUAACUCUGGGAUAAGCCUGGGAAACUGGGUCUAAUACCGGAUAGGAGCGUCCACCGCAUGGUGGGUGUUGGAAAGAUUUAUCGGUUUUGGAUGGACUCGCGGCCUAUCAGCUUGUUGGUGAGGUAAUGGCUCACCAAGGCGACGACGGGUAGCCGGCCUGAGAGGGUGACCGGCCACACUGGGACUGAGACACGGCCCAGACUCCUACGGGAGGCAGCAGUGGGGAAUAUUGCACAAUGGGCGCAAGCCUGAUGCAGCGACGCCGCGUGAGGGAUGACGGCCUUCGGGUUGUAAACCUCUUUCAGUAGGGAAGAAGCGAAAGUGACGGUACCUGCAGAAGAAGCACCGGCUAACUACGUGCCAGCAGCCGCGGUAAUACGUAGGGUGCGAGCGUUAUCCGGAAUUAUUGGGCGUAAAGAGCUCGUAGGCGGUUUGUCGCGUCUGUCGUGAAAGUCCGGGGCUUAACCCCGGAUCUGCGGUGGGUACGGGCAGACUAGAGUGCAGUAGGGGAGACUGGAAUUCCUGGUGUAGCGGUGGAAUGCGCAGAUAUCAGGAGGAACACCGAUGGCGAAGGCAGGUCUCUGGGCUGUAACU
This 642-nucleotide ribosomal RNA is filed under the name Micrococcus sp. RNAcentral's name for it is "bacterial SSU rRNA". It matches the Rfam family "Bacterial small subunit ribosomal RNA", at positions 85 to 741 of the family's 1533-position model. The record is from RNAcentral. Lineage: Bacteria; Bacillati; Actinomycetota; Actinomycetes; Micrococcales; Micrococcaceae.